CACGUAGGGUGCGAGCGUUGUCCGGAAUUAUUGGGCGUAAAGAGCUCGUAGGCGGUGUGUCGCGUCGGCCGUGAAAACCUGCAGCUUAACUGUGGGCGUGCGGUCGAUACGGGCAUCACUUGAGUUCGGCAGGGGAGACUGGAAUUCCUGGUGUAGCGGUGAAAUGCGCAGAUAUCAGGAGGAACACCGGUGGCGAAGGCGCCUAUCUGGCCCGAUACUGACGCUGAGGCGCGAAAGCUAGGGGAGCAAACGGG
RNAcentral lists this ribosomal RNA (254 nucleotides) under uncultured bacterium. RNAcentral's name for it is "partial 16S ribosomal RNA". It matches the Rfam family "Bacterial small subunit ribosomal RNA", at positions 524 to 776 of the family's 1533-position model. The record is from RNAcentral.